UUACAUACGGAUAAAAAUGCAUGUAGCUUAUUUAAACUAUGGACCAUUUUGAGUUGGUACCAAAUAUUUUGAAUUUUAAUAUUUUAAUUUGUUUGAUUUGAAUCGGUUAAUAAUAUAUUGACUUAUAGAUUUUGAAUGAGUUAUUUUUCUUCCUAGUUUUAGUAAGUAUACUUUAUAUAAUUCUUGCAAUUAUAAAUUUAUUAAAAUUAAUAAUUAGUUUAAAUUUUUUGAAGUUAAUGUAUCGUUGACUAACUUAAAUAAAAUAAAUUGAAAAGUUAGAUAGUGGAUUCAAAAUCAUCCAUAGUUUAAAUAAGUUCAGCACGUUUUUACCUUACCUAAAAUAUUAUUUUUCUGGAUUAAUUAUUAAUGUGUUCACAAAUUUAUAUAGUACGAAUUUGGAACAACUACUGGCUUCCGUAGCUGAUUGGCACUCAAAU
RNAcentral lists this long non-coding RNA (437 nucleotides) under Ananas comosus (pineapple). Its description in RNAcentral is "long non-coding RNA (ACOM_LNC024811)". Lineage: Eukaryota; Viridiplantae; Streptophyta; Magnoliopsida; Poales; Bromeliaceae. The record is from RNAcentral.